This 77-nucleotide microRNA precursor is filed under the name Hydra vulgaris (swiftwater hydra). Its description in RNAcentral is "microRNA hma-mir-3003a precursor". It matches the Rfam family "mir-3003 microRNA precursor family". Lineage: Eukaryota; Metazoa; Cnidaria; Hydrozoa; Anthoathecata; Hydridae. The record is from miRBase by way of RNAcentral.
AAGCUAUUUAUAUCAUUACCAAAUUGCACACUUAACAUAACUGUUAAAUGUGCAAACUGGUAAUGAAAUAAAUACUG